This 465-nucleotide ribosomal RNA is filed under the name Vreelandella stevensii. RNAcentral's name for it is "partial 16S ribosomal RNA". It matches the Rfam family "Bacterial small subunit ribosomal RNA", at positions 338 to 795 of the family's 1533-position model. The record is from RNAcentral. Lineage: Bacteria; Pseudomonadati; Pseudomonadota; Gammaproteobacteria; Oceanospirillales; Halomonadaceae.
CCUAGGGGGUGCUGCAGUGGGGAAUAUUGGACAAUGGGCGAAAGCCUGAUCCAGCCAUGCCGCGUGUGUGAAGAAGGCCUUCGGGUUGUAAAGCACUUUCAGUGGGGAAGAAAGCCUUGGGGCUAAUACCCUCGAGGAAGGACAUCACCCACAGAAGAAGCACCGGCUAACUCCGUGCCAGCAGCCGCGGUAAUACGGAGGGUGCGAGCGUUAAUCGGAAUUACUGGGCGUAAAGCGCGCGUAGGCGGUCUGAUAAGCCGGUUGUGAAAGCCCCGGGCUCAACCUGGGAACGGCAUCCGGAACUGUCAGGCUAGAGUGCAGGAGAGGAAGGUAGAAUUCCCGGUGUAGCGGUGAAAUGCGUAGAGAUCGGGAGGAAUACCAGUGGCGAAGGCGGCCUUCUGGACUGACACUGACGCUGAGGUGCGAAAGCGUGGGUAGCAAACAGGAUUAGAUACCCCAGUAGUC